CUAGUCAUAUAAAAUUCUAAGGUAUAUAUUGGCCGCAGUAGCUUUAUUGUAGAAAUAAGGUGUACACGUAGAUAGGAUCUAUCGAUCUUAGUAGUAAAGGAGUAGUCCUAUGUGAUUUAUGAGAUUGAGUUCGAAAGACUUUGGCUAGGGCAGUGAAUGAUGGAAAAGAGUUUUCAUCAGAUUUCACAAAUAAACAAAAAUUAAAUAAAUCU
Molecule: long non-coding RNA, 212 nt
Filed under: Elaeis guineensis (African oil palm)
Lineage: Eukaryota; Viridiplantae; Streptophyta; Magnoliopsida; Arecales; Arecaceae
Description: long non-coding RNA (EGUI_LNC028145)
Source: RNAcentral